UACGUAGGGUGCGAGCGUUGUCCGGAAUUAUUGGGCGUAAAGAGCUCGUAGGCGGUCUGUCACGUCGGAUGUGAAAACUCGGGGCUCAACCCCGAGCCUGCAUUCGAUACGGGCAGACUAGAGUUCGGUAGGGGAGACUGGAAUUCCUGGUGUAGCGGUGAAAUGCGCAGAUAUCAGGAGGAACACCGGUGGCGAAGGCGGGUCUCUGGGCCGAUACUGACGCUGAGGCGCGAAAGCUAGGGGAGCAAACGGG
This 253-nucleotide ribosomal RNA is filed under the name uncultured bacterium. Its description in RNAcentral is "partial 16S ribosomal RNA". It matches the Rfam family "Bacterial small subunit ribosomal RNA", at positions 524 to 776 of the family's 1533-position model. The record is from RNAcentral.